Molecule: ribosomal RNA, 465 nt
Filed under: uncultured bacterium
Lineage: Bacteria
Description: bacterial SSU rRNA
Rfam family: Bacterial small subunit ribosomal RNA
Source: RNAcentral
ACGAACGCUGGCGGCGCGCCUAACACAUGCAAGUCGAACGAGAGAGAGGAAGCUUGCUUCCUCAAUCGAGUGGCGAACGGGUGAGUAACGCGUGAGGAACCUGCCUCAAAGAGGGGGACAACAGUUGGAAACGACUGCUAAUACCGCAUAAGCCCACAGCUCGGCAUCGAGCAGAGGGAAAAGGAGCAAUCCGCUUUGAGAUGGCCUCGCGUCCGAUUAGCUAGUUGGUGAGGUAACGGCCCACCAAGGCGACGAUCGGUAGCCGGACUGAGAGGUUGAACGGCCACAUUGGGACUGAGACACGGCCCAGACUCCUACGGGAGGCAGCAGUGGGGAAUAUUGCACAAUGGGGGAAACCCUGAUGCAGCGACGCCGCGUGGAGGAAGAAGGUCUUCGGAUUGUAAACUCCUGUUGUUGAGGAAGAUAAUGACGGUACUCAACAAGGAAGUGACGGCUAACUACGUG